RNAcentral lists this ribosomal RNA (225 nucleotides) under uncultured Pseudomonas sp. RNAcentral's name for it is "partial 16S ribosomal RNA". It matches the Rfam family "Bacterial small subunit ribosomal RNA", at positions 568 to 792 of the family's 1533-position model. The record is from RNAcentral. Lineage: Bacteria; Pseudomonadati; Pseudomonadota; Gammaproteobacteria; Pseudomonadales; Pseudomonadaceae.
CGCGUAGGUGGUUCGUUAAGUUGGAUGUGAAAUCCCCGGGCUCAACCUGGGAACUGCAUUCAAAACUGACGAGCUAGAGUAUGGUAGAGGGUGGUGGAAUUUCCUGUGUAGCGGUGAAAUGCGUAGAUAUAGGAAGGAACACCAGUGGCGAAGGCGACCACCUGGACUGAUACUGACACUGAGGUGCGAAAGCGUAGGUAGCGAAUGGGAUUAGAUACCCUCGUA